CUCUGAAACUGAGAGGUCUUGAGGCAAUUGUGUAUAUAGAAAAAGUACUUUGUAGAGGGACUCAAAUCAUUCUGUGCCAACUUUCAGCAAGUCCUCCCAUGUGGUUAAUUUUUCUCUAGGCUUGUUUCUCAGACUCCCAAGUCUCCUCUCCUCAGAAUCUAUCUUUUCCCAUCCGCUGAAUGGAACAAUUCUAACAUUUCUAUCAUCAAGUAACUGAAGGAGUCCCUCUCUGCCAGGCUUUGGUAAACUAGUCACGGCUGCAAGAGUUCCUUGUUCAAGGUCUUGUGAUAUGCUGGCAACAGUUUCUUCGGCACAAUAGAGGUUUGUAGCAAUAAUUCCAGUUGGUCCUCUCUUCAACCACCCGCACACAUACAAGCCCUUUUCAAGCAAUGUUUGAUCUCCCAAAG
This 407-nucleotide unclassified non-coding RNA is filed under the name Hevea brasiliensis (rubber tree). The record is from RNAcentral. Lineage: Eukaryota; Viridiplantae; Streptophyta; Magnoliopsida; Malpighiales; Euphorbiaceae.